Molecule: transfer RNA, 70 nt
Filed under: Kamalia tattakana
Lineage: Eukaryota; Metazoa; Arthropoda; Insecta; Lepidoptera; Notodontidae
Description: tRNA-Leu
Source: RNAcentral
ACUAUUUUGGCAGAUAAAUGUAAUGGUUUUAGAAAUCAUAAAUAUAUAAAUUUAAGUUAUAUAGGUAGUA